RNAcentral lists this ribosomal RNA (386 nucleotides) under uncultured bacterium. Its description in RNAcentral is "bacterial SSU rRNA". It matches the Rfam family "Bacterial small subunit ribosomal RNA", at positions 29 to 416 of the family's 1533-position model. The record is from RNAcentral.
AUUGAACGCUGGCGGCAUGCCUUACACAUGCAAGUCGAACGGCAGCACGGGAGCAAUCCUGGUGGCGAGUGGCGAACGGGUGAGUAAUAUAUCGGAACGUGCCCAGUCGUGGGGAUAACGUAGCGAAAGCUACGCUAAUACCGCAUACGAUCUACGGAUGAAAGCGGGGGAUCGCAAGACCUCGCGCGAUUGGAGCGGCCGAUAUCAGAUUAGGUAGUUGGUGAGGUAAAGGCUCACCAAGCCGACGAUCUGUAGCUGGUCUGAGAGGACGACCAGCCACACUGGGACUGAGACACGGCCCAGACUCCUACGGGAGGCAGCAGUGGGGAAUUUUGGACAAAUGGGCGCAAGCCUGAUCCAGCAAUGCCGCGUGCAGGAUGAAGGCC